UUGCAGAAAGAAGCGCCCGGCUAACUACGGGCCAGCAGCCGCGGUAAUACGUAGGGCGCAAGCGUUGUCCGGAAUUAUUUGGGCGUAAAGAGNUNNUAGGCGGCUAGUCGCGUCUGCUGUGAAAGCCCGGGGCUUAACUCCGGGUGUGCAGUGGGUACGGGCAGGCUAGAGUGCAGUAGGGGUAACUGGAAUUCCUGGUGUAGCGGUGAAAUGCGCUAGAUAUCAGGAGGAACACCGAUGGCGAAGGCAGGUUACUGGGCUGUUACUGACGCUGAGGAGCGAAAGCAUGGGGAGCGAACAGGAUUAGAUACCCUGGUAGUCCCAUGCCGUAAACGU
This 336-nucleotide ribosomal RNA is filed under the name Kocuria sp. YI-1-KO-1. RNAcentral describes it as "bacterial SSU rRNA". It matches the Rfam family "Bacterial small subunit ribosomal RNA", at positions 478 to 809 of the family's 1533-position model. Lineage: Bacteria; Bacillati; Actinomycetota; Actinomycetes; Micrococcales; Micrococcaceae. The record is from RNAcentral.